Long non-coding RNA from Ruditapes philippinarum (Manila clam), 3366 nucleotides. RefSeq lists it as uncharacterized. Lineage: Eukaryota; Metazoa; Mollusca; Bivalvia; Venerida; Veneridae. The transcript has 4 exons. The record is from RefSeq and is a predicted model, not a curated record.
UUAAGCGACUGCACCACGUUGUUAAAUGUCCAGUUUAAACUUUAAAGCUUCUUUAAAAGGAAAAAUUAAAUACAGCCUGCACAUGUAUGCAGCCGGUGUCGGAAUAUUUGAUGAAUGGACAGAAAGAGACGAGAAAUGGGAAGAUAAAAAAGAGAGUGAGAAAGCUGAUGGUCAUGCUUUAUUCACUGCGCAUGUGGCCAGGAUUGGCAGGAACAAAAAAUGUUAAUAUUAUAAAGAAAAAGAAGAUUUAAGUACACUGUCAAUGAAAGAACAAAACAGUUUAGCAUUGGAAAAGUUGAAAAACAAAAGACGAGGCCUUUUGACUGAAGGGGGUUAUACAGGCAUUAUUCCAUCUUGAAUCAAGUCCAGAAAAGGAGCCAGGCUGCCAACUGCGAGCUUAAAAAAAUAACCAAAAAAUUAAAGAAUACAUCAACAAGUAUAAUUUCAUAGGUGGGAGUCCAACAAUACCACCAUCAACAAGCACAUUUGCGGAAACCUUUCCCAUACCUUUGUCAGUGAAGCAGCAGGCAACCAGAUUGUUCUGCCUUGAGAAGAGAGCUGCUGAAGAGCAUGUAUUAGUCAAAUCAUGAAUAGGGUCCAUUUCUGAAUACUGUGGGACAGAAAAAUGUGCAUUGGUAAAAGAGGUAUUAUACCUUGAAAGAACUUUCAACUCCCUCUUGUCGCAUUUAAAAUGCAUCUCUAAAUGCCCAUGACAGUUUUGCAGGCAUGGUUGGACUUUCUAAACUGAGUGGUGCCAGGAGUUAUGGAUCUGAAUCUGUGAACUGUGAAGCUCUGCUUAACUGUGAGGAGGAUUUAGCUAAAGACAGUGAAGACCGAUAUAGUAAUAGUAACUUGGUUGAUACAUUAAAUUACAUCAGCCAGUUUAAGUGAUAAAGAAGACCAAAUUUUAUUGCUUUCAAAGUGUAUUUCUUGUCAAGUAGUCAUAAUAUUUACUGAAAAUUAUUAAGAUGAAAACCAGACUUGUAAACAAGUGGUUUGUGAAAAUUAUGAAAAUACUUAACUUGUGAAGAGUUCAUAUUCAAUAGUGCUGUAAAUUGCAAUCAAUCUAAUAUUCAUAAAAUCAAUUAGAGGAGAACCAGACUUGUUAGAAAGUAAUGUUGAUUUAAGGAAAUUCAGACUUUUGAAAGUUAAUUUGUGAACAUUUGGAAAAUGAUGAAUAUAUGUCCAAGACAUUAUAGUGACAAUUAUUGUAAAUCUAGCAUUCAGAAAACUAAUGAGAGGAAAAGCAGUUUUGUGAAGAAAUAAUGACUCCACUUACAGAUUUAAGAAAAGCAUUCUUAGACCUAUCAGAAAGUUAUUCAGGAAAAUGCUGAACUUGUGAACCAUUGAUGUCCAAUUCAGUUAUAAAAAUUGUGGUGAAUGAAAAACCUGAUUAGUGUAUUCAGUUGUAUGAGGGGAGAAUAAGGCUUUCCAAGAAAUUUUGUCGGUUGUGGUAGGUGUGUGAAAAUGAAAAAAAAAAAAACAGUACUUUAUAAAAAUGUGAAUGCACUUCUAGAGAGGAAGCUAUAGAUCAAAGCUGAUAACCAGAACUUUAGGGAAAGUAAUAUGCUAGCCAGUUAAUUGAAGGAAAACCAAAAUGGACCUGAAAGUGGAAAUGAUAUCCAAGCUGGUACUGUAUGAUAAAACAGUCCAAGCUAGUGAGAAGUAUAGUCAGGACAAACUAAUAGGAAUGAUGCAUAGAAGCCACUCAUUCUACACAACUAGUAUAUAUGAUAAUUUGUUUAGAAAUGUAAUAAUUUCUUCAUCAGGUGUGAAUGUGUGAAGAUAUCUACCAGGAGGCAUCACACUGAACAAUUCAUUUUUUAAUGAUUCUCUUUUUUAUUCAUUUAUUAGUAACUAUCUUCUUUUCUAUCCGGUUAGAUUAAUUCGAUGCAUUAAAACUUAGUCAUUAGCUUAUUUUGUUUUAGUUGAUUUCAAGUAACAUUAUACACAUGUUUUUGUUUGGCAAUUUAGUUUUUUUUUGCGGUAGACACUGAUGUGACAGAGGGUAUAUUAGUAUUUUUAUGUCUUAUGCUAAGACUCAAUUUAUGGAAAGCAUAUCUUACCUUAGGUUAAUUUGUAUAUUUUUAAUAAAAAUAUGUUUGUUUAAAUAAAGAAAUUACUCACUAUAAAGAAAGCUUAGAAACCAAAAUGCUGGAAAAAAAAUAAUGCAGACAGUCUUUCUUCAAAUUGAAAUACAAAUGUAAUUUUAAGGACUUAAGUUUCCAAGCACUGUAAAUGAUUUAACUGCUUUUGCUAGUAAGGAAAUGAGAGGGUUACCGUUAGAUUUUUACUGAACACUUGUCAAUCUUUUUUAUUUAUUUUCUUUCAAAAGAUUAUAAGUUAAAUAUGAUGAAAUUAUCAAUUUAUGUAAUGGGUGGAUGAUGGCUGGUCAGUGUAACACUUCCAUUAGCUUUAGUAGUUCAAUGAUAAGAACACUUUCCUCCAAUGGAAAGAGAUCUGAGUUCACACCUCAGCUGAAGCAGGAAGUGCUGUUGCAGUCAACUUAUUAUUUAUCUUUCUAUGAAAAAAGUUCUCCCCAUAACUUAAUUGUAUAACUUAAUUUUAAUGGGAAUCAAUUUAUAAUAAGAAUAAAAUGUUUAAUUGAUAUUAGAAAAUGUAUGCUUUUCAAAUUUUUUUUUUAAAGGAUACCCAAAAAUGUUAAAGUAAUAAAAGCUACAAAUUUUGUCUUUCUAACAAUACCAAUUUACAUAGAUUGUAGAUAACAGAGAUACUUAAGCAGCUCCUGUAUACUCCAUUGAAAUAUCACUCAUGCCUAUGAACAAGUGAAAAAAUAGGCAUUUUGUAGCAAAUAAAACUUAAUGGAUGUACAUUGGAUAUUUUUAUAUUAUACACCUUUUGAAAGUUACAAUCUUUUAUUUAUUGUGCAUGUUAAAAUAUUGGUAAUUUUCCAUGCCUUUCACUUAGAAAAACAUAGCAGAACAUACCCAGUAAGCCAGAUUUUUCAUCAUAUCAAUAGUUUUGUAACAAAAAAAUUAUAAGUGGUUCUCUUUAAAACUUGAUAUAUCAUUUUUUUAAAUGGAUUCUGUAAAUGUUUUUACCUGCAUACAUAGACAAAUGCAUAAGCUUUCAGAAAAUGUAUUAUUUUACUGAUUUUGAUAUUUGGUUAAUAAGUUUUACUUGCUACAAGUUUAAAUAUUUUAACAGGCUAGGAAGUUGCUAAUCUCUGUUAUCUAUGUCUCUCACCUAGGCAUAAUUAUGAAAUAUCACAUUAACCUUGUGUAUCUUGCAAUUGCUAAACAACUUUGUGUUCUUAGAUAUGUCAAUUUGCUAUCUGUAAACAAUGAUUAAAUUAAUGUGUGUCAUAGUACGAAAAUUAGAUUAUUAAAGACAUUUUACCUUAAA